CAGAUGAGGAGCUUGCUCCUCUGACGUUAGCGGCGGACGGGUGAGUAACACGUGGAUAACCUACCUAUAAGACUGGGAUAACUACGGGAAACCGGAGCUAAUACCGGAUAAUAUAUUGAACCGCAUGGUUCAAUAGUGAAAGACGGUUUUGCUGUCACUUAUAGAUGGAUCCGCGCCGCAUUAGCUAGUUGGUAAGGUAACGGCUUACCAAGGCAACGAUGCGUAGCCGACCUGAGAGGGUGAUCGGCCACACUGGAACUGAGACACGGUCCAGACUCCUACGGGAGGCAGCAGUAGGGAAUCUUCCGCAAUGGGCGAAAGCCUGACGGAGCAACGCCGCGUGAGUGAUGAAGGUCUUCGGAUCGUAAAACUCUGUUAUUAGGGAAGAACAAAUGUGUAAGUAACUAUGCACGUCUUGACGGUACCUAAUCAGAAAGUCACGGCUAACUACGUGCCAGCAGCCGCGGUAAUACGUAGGUGGCAAGCGUUAUCCGGAAUUAUUGGGCGUAAAGCGCGCGUAGGCGGUUUUUUAAGUCUGAUGUGAAAGCCCACGGCUCAACCGUGGAGGGUCAUUGGAAACUGGAAAACUUGAGUGCAGAAGAGGAAAGUGGAAUUCCAUGUGUAGCGGUGAAAUGCGCAGAGAUAUGGAGGAACACCAGUGGCGAAGGCGACUUUCUGGUCUGUAACUGACGCUGAUGUGCGAAAGCG
RNAcentral lists this ribosomal RNA (708 nucleotides) under uncultured Staphylococcus sp. RNAcentral describes it as "bacterial SSU rRNA". It matches the Rfam family "Bacterial small subunit ribosomal RNA", at positions 70 to 761 of the family's 1533-position model. Lineage: Bacteria; Bacillati; Bacillota; Bacilli; Caryophanales; Staphylococcaceae. The record is from RNAcentral.